Molecule: ribosomal RNA, 505 nt
Filed under: uncultured bacterium
Lineage: Bacteria
Description: bacterial SSU rRNA
Rfam family: Bacterial small subunit ribosomal RNA
Source: RNAcentral
UAGUCCACGCCGUAAACGAUGAGUGCUAGCUGUUGGGACCUUAGGUUUCAGUGGCGCCGCUAACGCAUUAAGCACUCCGCCUGGGGAGUACGGUCGCAAGAUUAAAACUCAAAGGAAUUGACGGGGACCCGCACAAGCGGUGGAGCAUGUGGUUUAAUUCGAGGCAACGCGAAGAACCUUACCAGACCUUGACAUGCCUCUUUUGGAUUUCAGAGAUGAUUUCCUUCGGUUCGGCCGGGGAGUGCACAGGUGCUGCAUGGCUGUCGUCAGCUCGUGUCGUGAGAUGUUGGGUUAAGUCCCGCAACGAGCGCAACCCUCAUUUUUAGUUGCCAGCAUUCAGUUGGGCACUCUAGAAAAACUGCCGGAGUUAAUCCGGAGGAAGGUGGGGAUGACGUCAAGUCUUCAUGGCCCUUAUGGUCUGGGCUACACACGUGCUACAAUGGCAGUGACAAAGAGCAGCGAUCCCGCGAGGGUUAGCUAAUCUCCAAACACUGUCUCAGUUCGG